AAUGUUCUUAGAUGCCUGGUCAUACCUCACAGUUGCAAACCUGGCCAAUCCUUCCUCAUAUAGAUAGAUGACAAGUGGAUCAUAGGAUGUAACCAGAACAUACAGGCGCACAUCGAAUUUGAAAUCGUCUAUGAGCAGGGGGUUGUUGAUGUAACGAGAAACCAGGAUGUUGUCUUCCAGUACAAUCUGAUUUGGAUUGUUUAUCAGGUAGACACCUCGACCUCUGGAAGAGGCCACAGGCUUCACUAUCCAUGGGCCUCUGUCCUUAGAAUAGGUACUGCAGAACUCCUGGUACUCAGCUGGGAGGAUGAAGGUCUGAGGUAAGAUAUGGAACGUCUUGAAUCCAUGGGACAGCUGCAUACGACUGAC
Molecule: long non-coding RNA, 369 nt
Filed under: Gallus gallus (chicken)
Lineage: Eukaryota; Metazoa; Chordata; Aves; Galliformes; Phasianidae
Source: RNAcentral